CAACGCGUUGGGAGCUCUCCCAUAUGGUCGACCUGCAGGCGGCCGCGAAUUCACUAGUGAUUAGAGUUUGAUCAUGGCUCAGAGCGAACGCUGGCGGCAGGCUUAACACAUGCAAGUCGAGCGCCGUAGCAAUACGGAGCGGCAGACGGGUGAGUAACACGUGGGAACGUGCCUUCUGGUUCGGAAUAACUCAGGGAAACUUGAGCUAAUACCGAAUAAGCCCUUCGGGGGAAAGAUUUAUCGCCGGAAGAUCGGCCCGCGUAAGAUUAGCUUGUUGGUGAGGUAACGGCUCACCAAGGCUACGAUCUUUAGCUGGUCUGAGAGGAUGAUCAGCCACAUUGGGACUGAGACACGGCCCAAACUCCUACGGGAGGCAGCAGUGGGGAAUAUUGGACAAUGGGCGCAAGCCUGAUCCAGCAAUGCCGCGUGAGUGAUGAAGGCCUUAGGGUUGUAAAGCUCUUUUACCCGGGAUGAUAAUGACAGUACCGGGAGAAUAAGCUCCGGCUAACUCCGUGCCAGCAGCCGCGGUAAUACGAAUCGAAUUCCCGCGGCCGCCAUGGCGGCCGGGAGCAUGCGACGUCGG
RNAcentral lists this ribosomal RNA (583 nucleotides) under uncultured Alphaproteobacteria bacterium. Its description in RNAcentral is "bacterial SSU rRNA". It matches the Rfam family "Bacterial small subunit ribosomal RNA", at positions 1 to 578 of the family's 1533-position model. The record is from RNAcentral. Lineage: Bacteria; Pseudomonadati; Pseudomonadota; Alphaproteobacteria.